ACUACAUAAAGGCGGUGGAAACUGAGAAGCUAGAGUCCGGUAGGGGUAGCGGGAAUCCCAGUGUAGCGGUGAAAUGCGUAGAGAUUGGGAAGAACAUCGGUGGCGAAAGCGCGCUACUGGGCCGGAACUGACACUCAGGGACGAAAGCUAGGGGAGCGAAAGGGAUUAGAUACCCCUGUAGUCCUAGCCGUAAACGAUGGAAACUAGGCGUGGCUUGUAUCGACCCGAGCCGUGCCGAAGCUAACGCGUUAAGUUUCCCGCCUGGGGAGUACGCACGCAAGUGUGAAACUCAAAGGAAUUGACGGGGGCCCGCACAAGCGGUGGAGUAUGUGGUUUAAUUCGAUGCAACGCGAAGAACCUUACCAAGACUUGACAUGUCGCGAACCCGGAUGAAAGUCUGGGGUGCCUUAGGGAGCGCGAACACAGGUGGUGCAUGGCUGUCGUCAGCUCGUGUCGUGAGAUGUUGGGUUAAGUCCCGCAACGAGCGCAACCCUCGUUUUUAGUUGCCAUCAUUAAGUUGGGCACUCUAGAGAGACUGCCGGUGACAAACCGGAGGAAGGUGGGGAUGACGUCAAGUCAGCAUGCCCCUUACGUCUUGGGCGACACACGUACUACAAUGGUCGGGACAAAGGGCAGCAAGCUCGCGAGAGUAAGCGAAUCUCAUCAAACUCGGCCUCAGUUCAGAUUGCAGGCUGCAACUCGCCUGCAUGAAGGAGGAAUCGCUAGUAAUCGCAGGUCAGCAUACUGCGGUGAAUCCGUUCCCGGGCCUUGUACACACCGCCCGUCACACCAUGGGAGCUGGCCACGCCCGAAGUCGUUACUC
Molecule: ribosomal RNA, 823 nt
Filed under: uncultured cyanobacterium
Lineage: Bacteria; Bacillati; Cyanobacteriota
Description: bacterial SSU rRNA
Rfam family: Bacterial small subunit ribosomal RNA
Source: RNAcentral